UACGUAGGGUGCAAGCGUUGUCCGGAUUUAUUGGGCGUAAAGAGCGUGUAGGCGGUCAGGUAGGUCGGUUGUGAAAACUGGAGGCUCAACCUUCAGAGGUCGACCGAAACCCCCUGGCUAGAGUCCGGGAGAGGAGAGUGGAAUUCCUGGUGUAGCGGUGAAAUGCGCAGAUAUCAGGAAGAACACCCGUGGCGAAAGCGGCUCUCUGGAACGGUACUGACGCUGAGACGCGAAAGCGUGGGGAGCGAACAGG
RNAcentral lists this ribosomal RNA (253 nucleotides) under uncultured bacterium. Its description in RNAcentral is "partial 16S ribosomal RNA". It matches the Rfam family "Bacterial small subunit ribosomal RNA", at positions 524 to 776 of the family's 1533-position model. The record is from RNAcentral.